This 379-nucleotide ribosomal RNA is filed under the name uncultured bacterium. Its description in RNAcentral is "bacterial SSU rRNA". It matches the Rfam family "Bacterial small subunit ribosomal RNA", at positions 28 to 407 of the family's 1533-position model. The record is from RNAcentral.
GACGAACGCUGGCGGCGUGCCUAACACAUGCAAGUCGAACGGAGAUAUGAUUUCGGUUAUAUCUUAGUGGCGAACGGGUGAGUAACGCGUGAGCAACCUGACCUUCAGAGGGGGAUAACACUUGGAAACAGGUGCUAAUACCGCAUAAGACCACGACCCGACAUCGGGAUGCGGUCAAAGGAGCAAUCCGCUGAGGGAGGGGCUCGCGUCCAUUAGAUAGAUGGCGGGGUAACGGCCCACCAUGUCGACGAUGGGUAGCCGGGCUGAGAGGCUGAUCGGCCACACUGGAACUGAGACACGGUCCAGACUCCUACGGGAGGCAGCAGUGGGGAAUAUUGGGCAAUGGGCGCAAGCCUGACCCAGCAACGCCGCGUGAGGG